Molecule: ribosomal RNA, 475 nt
Filed under: uncultured bacterium
Lineage: Bacteria
Description: bacterial SSU rRNA
Rfam family: Bacterial small subunit ribosomal RNA
Source: RNAcentral
AUUGAACGCUGGCGGAAUGCUUUACACAUGCAAGUCGAACGGCAGCACGGGUGCUUGCACCUGGUGGCGAGUGGCGAACGGGUGAGUAAUGCACCGGAACGUAUCCAAUAAUGGGGGAUAACGCACCGAAAGGUGUGCUAAUACCGCAUACGCCCUGAGGGGGAAAGCGGGGGAUCGUAAGACCUCGCGUUAAUGGAGCGGCCGAUGCCGGAUUAGCUAGUUGGUGAGGUAAAGGCUCACCAAGGCGACGAUCCGUAGCUGGUCUGAGAGGACGACCAGCCACACUGGAACUGAGACACGGUCCAGACUCCUACGGGAGGCAGCAGUGGGGAAUUUUGGACAAUGGGCGCAAGCCUGAUCCAGCAAUGCCGCGUGAGUGAUGAAGGCCUUAGGGUUGUAAAGCUCUUUUACCAGGGAUGAUAAUGACAGUACCUGGAGAAUAAGCUCCGGCUAACUCCGUGCCAGCAGCCGCGGU